Molecule: transfer RNA, 71 nt
Filed under: Pseudomonadota bacterium
Lineage: Bacteria; Pseudomonadati; Pseudomonadota
Also listed under: 4 other names
Description: tRNA-Gln
Rfam family: tRNA
About the family: Transfer RNA (tRNA) molecules are approximately 80 nucleotides in length.
Source: RNAcentral
UGGGCGAUGGUGUAACGGUAGCACAGCAGAUUUUGGUUCUGUUUGUCCAGGUUCGAAUCCUGGUCGCCCAG